RNAcentral lists this ribosomal RNA (1172 nucleotides) under Bacillus sp. NCCP-914. Its description in RNAcentral is "bacterial SSU rRNA". It matches the Rfam family "Bacterial small subunit ribosomal RNA", at positions 61 to 1215 of the family's 1533-position model. The record is from RNAcentral. Lineage: Bacteria; Bacillati; Bacillota; Bacilli; Caryophanales; Bacillaceae.
GUCGAGCGGACAGAUGGGAGCUUGCUCCCUGAUGUUAGCGGCGGACGGGUGAGUAACACGUGGGUAACCUGCCUGUAAGACUGGGAUAACUCCGGGAAACCGGGGCUAAUACCGGAUGCUUGUUUGAACCGCAUGGUUCAAACAUAAAAGGUGGCUUCGGCUACCACUUACAGAUGGACCCGCGGCGCAUUAGCUAGUUGGUGAGGUAAUGGCUCACCAAGGCAACGAUGCGUAGCCGACCUGAGAGGGUGAUCGGCCACACUGGGACUGAGACACGGCCCAGACUCCUACGGGAGGCAGCAGUAGGGAAUCUUCCGCAAUGGACGAAAGUCUGACGGAGCAACGCCGCGUGAGUGAUGAAGGUUUUCGGAUCGUAAAGCUCUGUUGUUAGGGAAGAACAAGUGCCGUUCAAAUAGGGCGGCACCUUGACGGUACCUAACCAGAAAGCCACGGCUAACUACGUGCCAGCAGCCGCGGUAAUACGUAGGUGGCAAGCGUUGUCCGGAAUUAUUGGGCGUAAAGGGCUCGCAGGCGGUUUCUUAAGUCUGAUGUGAAAGCCCCCGGCUCAACCGGGGAGGGUCAUUGGAAACUGGGGAACUUGAGUGCAGAAGAGGAGAGUGGAAUUCCACGUGUAGCGGUGAAAUGCGUAGAGAUGUGGAGGAACACCAGUGGCGAAGGCGACUCUCUGGUCUGUAACUGACGCUGAGGAGCGAAAGCGUGGGGAGCGAACAGGAUUAGAUACCCUGGUAGUCCACGCCGUAAACGAUGAGUGCUAAGUGUUAGGGGGUUUCCGCCCCUUAGUGCUGCAGCUAACGCAUUAAGCACUCCGCCUGGGGAGUACGGUCGCAAGACUGAAACUCAAAGGAAUUGACGGGGGCCCGCACAAGCGGUGGAGCAUGUGGUUUAAUUCGAAGCAACGCGAAGAACCUUACCAGGUCUUGACAUCCUCUGACAAUCCUAGAGAUAGGACGUCCCCUUCGGGGGCAGAGUGACAGGUGGUGCAUGGUUGUCGUCAGCUCGUGUCGUGAGAUGUUGGGUUAAGUCCCGCAACGAGCGCAACCCUUGAUCUUAGUUGCCAGCAUUCAGUUGGGCACUCUAAGGUGACUGCCGGUGACAAACCGGAGGAAAGGUGGGGAUGACGUCCAAUCAUCAUGCCCCUUAUGACCUGGGCU